CCCUUAGAUGUCCGGGGCCGCACGCGCGUUACACUGAUGCAUUCAACGAGCUUAUAACCUUGGCCGAGAGGCCUGGGCAAUCUUGUUAACGUGCAUCGUGAUAGGGAUAGAUUAUUGAAAUUAUUAAUCUUGAACGAGGAAUUCCUAGUAAACGCAGAUCAUCAAUCUGCAUUGAUUACGUCCCUGCCCUUUGUACACACCGCCCGUCGCACCUACCGAUUGGAUGGUCCGGUGAAGCCUCGGGAUUGUGGUUCUUGCCGCUUUAUUGUGGCGUGACCGCGAGAACUUGUCUAAACCUUAUCAUCUAGAGGUAGGUGAAGUCGUAACA
This 328-nucleotide ribosomal RNA is filed under the name uncultured eukaryote. RNAcentral's name for it is "partial 18S ribosomal RNA". It matches the Rfam family "Eukaryotic small subunit ribosomal RNA", at positions 1470 to 1796 of the family's 1831-position model. The record is from RNAcentral.